This is a long non-coding RNA of Photinus pyralis (common eastern firefly), 1157 nucleotides long. RefSeq lists it as uncharacterized. The record is from RefSeq and is a predicted model, not a curated record. The transcript is spliced from 5 exons. Lineage: Eukaryota; Metazoa; Arthropoda; Insecta; Coleoptera; Lampyridae.
UGCGUGUAAAAAUUUGGUUUUUUUUAAUUACAACUGAGCUAGCUAGAGGUAAAAUACGAUAGCAAAAAAGCAUCUGAUUAUGCCAAAAAGGGAAAAACACCUUACAAAAAAUGGACUAGCUAUAAAGUUGAACCAAUUUGUACUAAAUUGUUCGAUUCUUAUGAUGCUGCUUAUAGGGCAGAAUCUGUUUUAUUGGAAAAAUCUGACUUAGAAUCAACCGACAUAGAAGCGAUCAACAACCCCACACAGGUAUUAGAUAAAAAAAGACGAAAAAAUAAACGUGUAAUUCCAAAUUGUACCAGUGCUAGAGAUGAAAGUGAGCUAUCUUCUAGUGAAAAUGAGAGUGCCGUUAUUGAUCUUAAUCUACCCCCUGCUCCUGAUACAACACUAAUAACUAUUAACGAAACUGUAUCAACUGAAGAUCCAGCGAAUUAUAUUCCCGUAUACGUGAAUAAUAAUGAGCCUGAAACGGAUUUAGGUAAUAAUGGCAUUUACAAAGAAACACCCUCCGAAACACGCAUUGAAACAAACUCAAUUGAUAUAACUGACAUCAAUGAUGUUCCAUUGUCAUUAGCCACUGAAAGACAAGUUAAUGAUAUAAAAGAACUAAUUAUUGCACAAAAUACCAAAAUAGAAAAUCUUAUAGCACUGGUAAAUGAUAUGUCUAAACAAUUUAAAUAACUUAAACGGGGUAAUGAGAAAAAUACUGACGCUAAUGUGACAACAGCAACGAGAUGGAAUUUUCCAAUGCAGACCAUUGAUGAUAUUAAGAAGCUUGACGAAAGUUUGAAAAGUGGAGAUGAUGAUAGUGUGAAAGAAUUUAAAUGUUUUAUUCUUCAACUUGGGGGAACUACUUUAAAAACAACAAUUAAAUUUAUAAUCAAAGAACUAUAUUCUAUAGAAUUACAACAAAAUCUAAAUUACUCUGGACGGGAGAAUAAGUUUUCUACAAAAGAUUUAGUUCAAACAAAAUUAAUCCUUGAAGCAAUGCAACACAAUACACGUAGAACUCAGGUUGAGGCUAUCAACGAAUACAUGUAUCACAUGCAGCAUGUAACUGAUCGGGUUCGAGCUAUGAUGAAGAAAAAUAAUAAAUAAAAAAAAUACAUGUAUUUUCUUUUAAUAAAAAUACUUGCCUAUAAACGUAGCAAAGUGUG